CGGACGGGUGAGUAACGCGUGAGUAACCUGCCUUUCAGAGGGGGGACAACAGUUGGAAACGACUGCUAAUACCGCAUAACAUAUUUGGAUCGCAUGGUCUGAAUAUCAAAGAUUUAUCGCUGAAAGAUGGACUCGCGUCUGAUUAGGUAGUUGGCGGGGUAACGGCCCACCAAGCCGACGAUCAGUAGCCGGACUGAGAGGUUGAACGGCCACAUUGGGACUGAGAUACGGCCCAGACUCCUACGGAAGGCAGCAG
This 256-nucleotide ribosomal RNA is filed under the name uncultured bacterium. RNAcentral describes it as "partial 16S ribosomal RNA". It matches the Rfam family "Bacterial small subunit ribosomal RNA", at positions 99 to 354 of the family's 1533-position model. The record is from RNAcentral.